AUUGAACUCUGGCGGCAGGCCUAACACAUGCAAGUCGAACGAGUGGCGGACGGGUGAGUAAUGUCUGGGAAACUGCCCGAUGGAGGGGGAUAACUACUGGGAACGGUAGCUAAUACCGCAUACCCUCGGAUGUGCCCAGACGGGAUUAGCCAGUAGGUGGGGUAACGGCUCACCUAGGAGACGAUCCCUAGCUGGGCUGAGAGGAUGACCAGGCACACUGGAACUGAGACACGGUACAGACGCCUACGGGAGGCAGCAGUGGGGAAUAUUGCACAAUGGGCGCAAGCCUGAUGCAGCCAUGCCGCGUGUAGGAAGAAGGCCUUCGGGUUGUAAAGUACUUUCAGCGAGGAGGCGUUACUCGCAGAAGAAGCAUCGGCUAACUCCGUGCCAGCAGCCGCGGUAAUAC
RNAcentral lists this ribosomal RNA (406 nucleotides) under uncultured bacterium. RNAcentral describes it as "partial 16S ribosomal RNA". It matches the Rfam family "Bacterial small subunit ribosomal RNA", at positions 30 to 526 of the family's 1533-position model. The record is from RNAcentral.